This 372-nucleotide ribosomal RNA is filed under the name uncultured bacterium. RNAcentral describes it as "bacterial SSU rRNA". It matches the Rfam family "Bacterial small subunit ribosomal RNA", at positions 527 to 896 of the family's 1533-position model. The record is from RNAcentral.
AGAACCCCCAAGCGUUACCCGGAUUUAUUGGGCGUAAAGUGUCUGUAGCCGGUUUGGUAAGUCACAGGUUAAAUCCCAAGGGCUCAACCUUUGGAGUGCUUGCGAAACUGCCAGACUUGAGGGCGUUAGGGGCUGAUAGAACUCUCGGUGGAGGGGUGAAAUCCGUUGAUAUCGAGGGGAAUACCAAAAGCGAAGGCAUUCAGCUGGGGCGACCCUGACGGUGAGAGACGAAAGCGUGGGGAGCAAAAAGGAUUAGAUACCCUUGUAGUCCACGCUGUAAACCAUGGAUACUAGCUAUGUGAAGUGUCGACCCUUCACGUGGCGAAGCUAACGCGUUAAGUAUCCCGCCUGGGAAGUACGAGCGCAAGCUUA